RNAcentral lists this ribosomal RNA (305 nucleotides) under uncultured bacterium. RNAcentral's name for it is "bacterial SSU rRNA". It matches the Rfam family "Bacterial small subunit ribosomal RNA", at positions 337 to 659 of the family's 1533-position model. The record is from RNAcentral.
ACCUACGGGCCGCAGCAGUGGGGAAUAUUGCACAAUGGGGGAAACCCUGAUGCAGCGACGCCGCGUGAAGGAAGAAGUAUUUCGGUAUGUAAACUUCUAUCAGCAGGGAAGAAAAUGACGGUACCUGACUAAGAAGCCCCGGCUAACUACGUGCCAGCAGCCGCGGUAAUACGUAGGGGGCAAGCGUUAUCCGGAUUUAUUGGGUUUAAAGGGAGCGUAGGCCGGCUUUUAAGUCAGCUGUGAAAGUCCGCGGCUCAACCGUGGAAUUGCAGUUGAAACUGGAGGCCUUGAGUGCACACAGGGAU